RNAcentral lists this ribosomal RNA (468 nucleotides) under uncultured bacterium. RNAcentral's name for it is "partial 16S ribosomal RNA". It matches the Rfam family "Bacterial small subunit ribosomal RNA", at positions 28 to 507 of the family's 1533-position model. The record is from RNAcentral.
GACGAACGCUGGCGGCGUGCUUAACACAUGCAAGUCGAACGGAAAGGCCCUGCUUUUGUGGGGUGCUCGAGUGGCGAACGGGUGAGUAACACGUGAGUAACCUGCCCUUGACUUUGGGAUAACUUCAGGAAACUGGGGCUAAUACCGGAUAGGAGCUCCUGCUGCAUGGUGGGGGUUGGAAAGUUUCGGCGGUUGGGGAUGGACUCGCGGCUUAUCAGCUUGUUGGUGGGGUAGUGGCUUACCAAGGCUUUGACGGGUAGCCGGCCUGGGAGGGUGACCGGCCACAUUGGGACUGAGAGACGGCCCAGACUCCUACGGGAGGCAGCAGUGGGGAAUAUUGCACAAUGGGCGGAAGCCUGAUGCAGCAACGCCGCGUGCGGGAUGACGGCCUUCGGGUUGUAAACCGCUGUCGCCUGUGACGAAGCGUGAGUGACGGUAAUGGGUAAAGAAGCACCGGCUAACUACGUG